AUUGAACGCUGGCGGCAUGCCUUACACAUGCAAGUCGAACGGCAGCACGGGUGCUUGCACCUGGUGGCGAGUGGCGAACGGGUGAGUAAUACAUCGGAACGUACCUUAUCGUGGGGGAUAACGCAGCGAAAGCUGUGCUAAUACCGCAUACGCCCUGAGGGGGAAAGCGGGGGAUCGCAAGACCUCGCGCGAUUAGAGCGGCCGAUGCCUGACUAGCUUGUUGGUGGGGUAAAAGCCCACCAAGGCGACGAUCAGUAGCUGGUCUGAGAGGACAGUCAGCCACACUGGGACUGAGACACGGCCCAGACUCCUACGGGAGGCAGCAGUGGGGAAUUUUGGACAAUGGGGGCAACCCUGAUCCAGCAAUGCCGCGUGAGUGAAGAAGGCCUUCGGGUUGUAAAGCUCUUUUGUCAGGGAAGAAACACCGGCUCUAACACAGUCUGGGAAUGACGGUACCUGAAGAAUAAGCACCGGCUAACUACGUGCCAGCAGCCGCCGUAA
RNAcentral lists this ribosomal RNA (501 nucleotides) under uncultured bacterium. RNAcentral's name for it is "partial 16S ribosomal RNA". It matches the Rfam family "Bacterial small subunit ribosomal RNA", at positions 29 to 523 of the family's 1533-position model. The record is from RNAcentral.